AGACCCGAAACCGGGCGACCUACCCAUGAGCAGGAUGAAGCGAAAGUAAAAUUUCGUGGAGGUCCGAACCCACGAGCGUUGAAAAGCUCGGGGAUGACUUGUGGGUAGCGGUGAAAUUCCAAUCGAGCCCGGAGAUAGCUGGUUCUCCCCGAAAUAGCUUUAGGGCUAGCCUCAAGGUGAGAGAUACGGAGGUAGAGCACUGAAUGUCCUAGGGGGUAUUGCACCUACCGAAGACUAUCAAACUCCGAAUGCCGUCAUCUUAUACUUGGGAGUCAGACUGUGGGUGAUAAGAUUCAUAGUCGAAAGGGCAACAGCCCAGAUCGUCAGCUAAGGUCCCUAAAUGUAAGUUAAGUGGUAAAGGAUGUGGGAUUGCACAGACAACCAGGAUGUUGGCUUAGAAGCAGCCACUCAUUCAAAGAGUGCGUAAUAGCUCACUGGUCGAGUGAUCCUGCGCCGAAGAUUUCCGGGGCUAAAACUUACUACCGAAGCUACGGCAUCAGUAAUGAUGGGUAGGGGAGCUUCCCAUACGGGUUGAAGCAUGACCGUAAGGACAUGUGGACAGUAUGGGAGUGAGAAUGUUGGCAUGAGUAGCGAGAUGUGGGUGAGAAUCC
Molecule: ribosomal RNA, 611 nt
Filed under: Clostridioides difficile
Lineage: Bacteria; Bacillati; Bacillota; Clostridia; Peptostreptococcales; Peptostreptococcaceae
Description: partial 23S ribosomal RNA
Rfam family: Bacterial large subunit ribosomal RNA
Source: RNAcentral